This 254-nucleotide ribosomal RNA is filed under the name uncultured bacterium. RNAcentral's name for it is "partial 16S ribosomal RNA". It matches the Rfam family "Bacterial small subunit ribosomal RNA", at positions 524 to 776 of the family's 1533-position model. The record is from RNAcentral.
UACGUAGGGGGGCAAGCGUUGUCCGGAAUCAUUGGGCGUAAAGCGCGUGUAGGCGGCUGAGUAAGUCUGCUCUGAAAGCCCGGGGCUCAACCCCGGGAGGCGGGUGGAUACUGCUCAGCUCGAGUCCGGAAGAGGAGUGUGGAAUUCCUGGUGUAGCGGUGAAAUGCGCAGAUAUCGGGAGGAACACCAGUGGCGAAGGCGGCGAUCUGGGAAGAUACUGACGCUGAGGUGCGAAGGCGUGGGGAGCGAACGGG